RNAcentral lists this ribosomal RNA (465 nucleotides) under uncultured bacterium. RNAcentral's name for it is "partial 16S ribosomal RNA". It matches the Rfam family "Bacterial small subunit ribosomal RNA", at positions 338 to 795 of the family's 1533-position model. The record is from RNAcentral.
CCUACGGGUGGCAGCAGUGGGGAAUAUUGCGCAAUGGGCGAAAGCCUGACGCAGCGACGCCGCGUGAGGGAUGAAGGUCUUCGGAUCGUAAACCUCUGUCAGCAGGGAAGAACGGUCACUGUGCUAAUCAGCAGUGACUUGACGGUACCUGCAAAGGAAGCACCGGCUAACUCCGUGCCAGCAGCCGCGGUAAUACGGAGGGUGCGAGCGUUAAUCGGAAUUACUGGGCGUAAAGCGCUCGUAGGCGGUAUGUCAAGUCUAGGGUGAAAUCCCCGCGCUCAACGUGGGAACUGCAUUUGAAACUGGUAAACUGGAGGGUGUGAGAGGAUAGUCGAAUUCCAGGUGUAGGAGUGAAAUCCGUAGAGAUCUGGAGGAACAUCAGGGGCGAAGGCGACUAUCUGGCACAUAACUGACGCUGAGGAGCGAAAGCGUGGGUAGCAAACAGGAUUAGAUACCCGAGUAGUC